AGUGAACGCUGGCGGUAGGCCUAACACAUGCAAGUCGAACGGCAGCACAGUAAGAGCUUGCUCUUACGGGUGGCGAGUGGCGGACGGGUGAGGAAUACAUCGGAAUCUACUUUUUCGUGGGGGAUAACGUAGGGAAACUUACGCUAAUACCGCAUACGACCUACGGGUGAAAGCAGGGGAUCUUCGGACCUUGCGCGAUUGAAUGAGCCGAUGUCGGAUUAGCUAGUUGGCGGGGUAAAGGCCCACCAAGGCGACGAUCCGUAGCUGGUCUGAGAGGAUGAUGAGCCACACUGGAACUGAGACGCGGUCCAGACUCCUACGGGAGGCAGCAGUGGGGAAUAUUGGACAAUGGGCGCAAUCCUGAUCCAGCCAUACCGCGUGGGUGAAGAAGGGCUUCGGGUUGUAAAGCCCUUUUGUUGGGAAAGAAAAGCAGCAGGUUAAUACCCCGCUGUUCUGACGGUACCCAAAGAAUAAGCACCGGCUAACUUCGUG
This 492-nucleotide ribosomal RNA is filed under the name uncultured bacterium. Its description in RNAcentral is "partial 16S ribosomal RNA". It matches the Rfam family "Bacterial small subunit ribosomal RNA", at positions 29 to 507 of the family's 1533-position model. The record is from RNAcentral.